AUUGAACGCUGGCGGCAGGCCUAACACAUGCAAGUCGAGCGGCAGCAUGGACUUCGGUCUGAUGGCGAGCGGCGAACGGGUGAGUAACAUAUAGGAACAUACCUAGUAAUGGGGGAUAACGCCGAGAAAUCGGUGCUAAUACCGCAUACGCCCUGAGGGGGAAAGCGGGGGAUCUUCGGACCUCGCGUUAUUAGAUUGGCCUAUAUCUGAUUAGCUAGUUGGUGAGGUAAAGGCUCACCAAGGCGACGAUCAGUAGCUGGUCUGAGAGGAUGAUCAGCCACACUGGAACUGAGACACGGUCCAGACACCUACGGGUGGCAG
This 321-nucleotide ribosomal RNA is filed under the name uncultured Pseudomonadota bacterium. RNAcentral's name for it is "bacterial SSU rRNA". It matches the Rfam family "Bacterial small subunit ribosomal RNA", at positions 30 to 351 of the family's 1533-position model. The record is from RNAcentral. Lineage: Bacteria; Pseudomonadati; Pseudomonadota.